GCCCAAGUGGUGAAACUGGUAGACGCGCUAGACUCAAAAUCUUGUACGGGCAACCGUAUGUCGGUUCGAGUCCGACCUUGGGCACCA
RNAcentral lists this transfer RNA (87 nucleotides) under Campylobacter hyointestinalis subsp. hyointestinalis. Its description in RNAcentral is "tRNA-Leu". It matches the Rfam family "tRNA". From Rfam's summary of the family: Transfer RNA (tRNA) molecules are approximately 80 nucleotides in length. Their secondary structure includes four short double-helical elements and three loops (D, anti-codon, and T loops). Further hydrogen bonds mediate the characteristic L-shaped molecular structure. tRNAs have two regions of fundamental functional importance: the anti-codon, which is responsible for specific mRNA codon recognition, and the 3' end, to which the tRNAs corresponding amino acid is attached (by aminoacyl-tRNA synthetases). tRNAs cope with the degeneracy of the genetic code in two manners: having more than one tRNA (with a specific anti-codon) for a particular amino acid; and 'wobble' base-pairing, i.e. permitting non-standard base-pairing at the 3rd anti-codon position. The record is from RNAcentral. Lineage: Bacteria; Pseudomonadati; Campylobacterota; Epsilonproteobacteria; Campylobacterales; Campylobacteraceae.